GAAUUCGAUUAACGCGAAGAACCUUACCUGGGCUCGAAAUGUAGUGGAAUGAGGUAGAAAUAUCUCUGUUUCGCAAGAGACUGCUAUAUAGGCGCUGCAUGGCUGUCGUCAGCUCGUGUCGUGAGAUGUUGGGUUAAGUCCCGCAACGAGCGCAACCCUUAUCGUUAGUUGCCAUCGGGUCAAGCCGGGCACUCUAGCGAAACCGCCUCGGAUAACGGGGAGGAAGGUGGGGAUGACGUCAAGUCCUCAUGGCCUUUAUGUCCAGGGCUACACACGUGCUACAAUGCACGGUACAAACCGUCGCAAACCCGCGAGGGGGAGCUAAUCGGAAAAAGCCGUGCUCAAUUCGGAUUGGAGUCUGCAACCCGACUCCAUGAAGCUGGAAUCGCUAGUAAUCGCAGAUCAGAACGCUGCGGUGAAUACGUUCCCGGGCCUUGUCACACCGAAUCACUA
Molecule: ribosomal RNA, 453 nt
Filed under: uncultured soil bacterium
Lineage: Bacteria
Description: bacterial SSU rRNA
Rfam family: Bacterial small subunit ribosomal RNA
Source: RNAcentral